Molecule: long non-coding RNA, 273 nt
Organism: Mustela erminea (ermine)
Lineage: Eukaryota; Metazoa; Chordata; Mammalia; Carnivora; Mustelidae
Exons: 3
Source: RefSeq, a predicted model, not a curated record
AAGUGGAUAAAAUUCAGGGCUGGGAAGGAAAAAUUAUACACCUCUAAGCUCUAAGCCUAUCUUCUCUCUUCCAGACAAGGGUCUGAGGAGGAAAAGCUAUCUCUACUCUCUCCAUCUCACCAACUACUGAUUAUUCUCUCAUUCUUUGCUUUCAAGAUUCUCUGUUUUACCUGCUUAGUUGGGGUCUCAGGAGGAGUUGAGGACCAAGAGAGAAUGAGACUAGGUGGAGAGACAAGAUACUGCCCACAAGCCACCCUUUUAGACAUGAUCACA